AUUGAACGCUGGCGGCAUGCCUUACACAUGCAAGUCGAACGGUAACGGGCCUUCGGGUGCCGACGAGUGGCGAACGGGUGAGUAAUACAUCGGAACGUGCCCGAUCGUGGGGGAUAACGAGGCGAAAGCUUUGCUAAUACCGCAUACGAUCUACGGAUGAAAGCAGGGGACCGCAAGGCCUUGCGCGGACGGAGCGGCCGAUGGCAGAUUAGGUAGUUGGUGGGAUAAAAGCUUACCAAGCCGACGAUCUGUAGCUGGUCUGAGAGGAUGAUCAGCCACACUGGGACUGAGACACGGCCCAGACUCCUACGGGAGGCAGCAGUGGGGAAUUUUGGACAAAGGGCGCAAGCCUGAUCCAGCCAUGCCGCGUGCAGGAUGAAGGCCUUCGGGUUGUAAACUGCUUUUGUAUGGAACGAAAAGCCUUCUUUUAAUACAGGAGGGUCAUGACGGUACCGUAAGAAUAAGCACCGGCUAACUACGUG
RNAcentral lists this ribosomal RNA (482 nucleotides) under uncultured bacterium. Its description in RNAcentral is "partial 16S ribosomal RNA". It matches the Rfam family "Bacterial small subunit ribosomal RNA", at positions 30 to 507 of the family's 1533-position model. The record is from RNAcentral.